RNAcentral lists this ribosomal RNA (279 nucleotides) under uncultured bacterium. Its description in RNAcentral is "partial 16S ribosomal RNA". It matches the Rfam family "Bacterial small subunit ribosomal RNA", at positions 506 to 784 of the family's 1533-position model. The record is from RNAcentral.
UGCCAGCAGCCGCGGUAAUACGGAGGGGGCUAGCGUUGUUCGGAAUUACUGGGCGUAAAGCGCGCGUAGGCGGUUCGGCAAGUUAGGUGUGAAAGCCCGGGGCUCAACCCCGGAAUUGCACUUAAAACAGCAAGACUUGAAUACGGUAGAGGAGAGAGGAAUUCCUGGUGUAGAGGUGAAAUUCGUAGAUAUCAGGAGGAACACCGAUGGCGAAGGCAUCUCUCUGGGUCGAUAUUGACGCUGAGGCGCGAAGGCGUGGGUAGCGAACGGGAUUAGAUA